RNAcentral lists this ribosomal RNA (253 nucleotides) under uncultured bacterium. RNAcentral's name for it is "partial 16S ribosomal RNA". It matches the Rfam family "Bacterial small subunit ribosomal RNA", at positions 524 to 776 of the family's 1533-position model. The record is from RNAcentral.
UACGUAGGGUGCAAGCGUUAAUCGGAAUUACUGGGCGUAAAGCGUGCGCAGGCGGUUUUGUAAGUCUGAUGUGAAAUCCCCGGGCUCAACCUGGGAAUUGCAUUGGAGACUGCAAGGCUAGAAUCUGGCAGAGGGGGGUAGAAUUCCACGUGUAGCAGUGAAAUGCGUAGAGAUGUGGAGGAACACCGAUGGCGGAGGCAGCCCCCUGGGUCAAGAUUGACGCUCAUGCACGAAAGCGUGGGGAGCAAACAGG